GAUGAAGAACGUAGCGAAAUGCGAUAAGUAAUGUGAAUCGCAGAAUUCAGUGAAUCAUCGAAUCUUUGAACGCACAUUGCGCCCGCCAGCACUCUGGCGGGCAUGCCUGUUCGAGCGUCAUUUCAACCAUCAAGCCCCCAGGGGCUUGUGCUGGGGCCCUGCGGCUGCCCGCAGGCCCUGAAAACCAGUGGCGGGCUCGCUAGUCACACCGAGCGCAGUAGCACAUCUCGCUCAGGGCGUGCGGCGGGCUCCUGCCGUGAAACCCCCCACUGUAACCCCAAAGGUUGACCUCGGAUCAGGUAGGAAUACCCGCUGAACUUAAGCAUAUCAAUAAGCGGAGGA
This 342-nucleotide unclassified non-coding RNA is filed under the name soil metagenome. RNAcentral describes it as "partial contains 5.8S ribosomal RNA, internal transcribed spacer 2, and large subunit ribosomal RNA". The stretch from base 1 to 120 matches the Rfam family "5.8S ribosomal RNA", at positions 35 to 154 of the family's 154-position model. The record is from RNAcentral.